Molecule: ribosomal RNA, 324 nt
Filed under: uncultured eukaryote
Lineage: Eukaryota
Description: partial 18S ribosomal RNA
Rfam family: Eukaryotic small subunit ribosomal RNA
Source: RNAcentral
CCCUUAGAUGUUCUGGGCCGCACGCGCGCUACACUGAUGCAUUCAACGAGCACCCGCUGGGCCGAGAGGUCCGGCUAAUCUUUGAACGUGCAUCGUGCUGGGGAUAGAUGAUUGCAAUUAUUCAUCUUCAACGAGGAAUUCCUAGUAAACGCAAGUCAUCAGCUUGCAUUGAUUACGUCCCUGCCCUUUGUACACACCGCCCGUCGCACCUACCGAUUGAAUGGUCCGGUGAAAUUCUCGGACGCGGACUUGCGAUGUUAAUUCGGAGCUUGACUGUGAAAGUUAAUUAAACCUUACCAUUUAGAGGAAGGUGAAGUCGUAACA